CUACGUAGGGUGCGAGCGUUAAUCGGAAUUACUGGGCGUAAAGCGUGCGCAGGCGGUUUUGUAAGACAGGCGUGAAAUCCCCGGGCUCAACCUGGGAAUGGCGCUUGUGACUGCAAGGCUAGAGUGCGUCAGAGGGGGGUAGAAUUCCACGUGUAGCAGUGAAAUGCGUAGAGAUGUGGAGGAAUACCGAUGGCGAAGGCAGCCACCUGGGACGAGACUGACGCUCAUGCACGAAAGCGUGGGGAGCAAACAGGAUUAGAAACCCCAGUAGUCC
This 274-nucleotide ribosomal RNA is filed under the name uncultured bacterium. Its description in RNAcentral is "partial 16S ribosomal RNA". It matches the Rfam family "Bacterial small subunit ribosomal RNA", at positions 523 to 796 of the family's 1533-position model. The record is from RNAcentral.